RNAcentral lists this ribosomal RNA (800 nucleotides) under uncultured metazoan. RNAcentral describes it as "SSU rRNA". It matches the Rfam family "Eukaryotic small subunit ribosomal RNA", at positions 41 to 839 of the family's 1831-position model. The record is from RNAcentral. Lineage: Eukaryota; Metazoa.
GGAUUAAGCCAUGCAUGUCCAAGUACAUACUUUCACAUGGUGAAACUGCGAAUGGCUCAUUAAAUCAGUUAUGGUUCCUUAGAUCGUACAAUCCUACUUGGAUAACUGUGGCAAUUCUAGAGCUAAUACAUGGAACACAGCUCCGACCUCCGUGGGAAGAGCGCUUUUAUUAGUCCAAAACCAAUCCGGCAGCGAUGCCGGUUCCGCUGGUGAAUCUGAAUAACUUUGUGCCGAUCGCAUGGCCUCGAGCCGGCGACGUAUCUUUCAAAUGUCUGCCCUAUCAACUUUCGAUGGUACGUGAGAUGCCUACCAUGGUUGUAACGGGUAACGGGGAAUCGGGGUUCGAUUCCGGAGAGGGAGCAUGAGAAACGGCUACCACAUCCAAGGAAGGCAGCAGGCGCGCAAAUUACCCACUCCCGACACGGGGAGGUAGUGACGAAAAAUAACAAUACGGGACUCAUUCGAGGCCCCGUAAUUGGAAUGAGUACACUUUAAACCCUUUAACGAGGAUCAAUUGGAGGGCAAGUCUGGUGCCAGCAGCCGCGGUAAUUCCAGCUCCAAUAGCGUAUAUUAAAGUUGUUGCAGUUAAAAAGCUCGUAGUUGGAUCUCGGGUCCAGGCUGGCGGUCUGCCUCGCGGUGGUCACUGCCUGUCCUGACCUACCUCCUGGUUUUCUCCUGAUGCUCUUGACUGAGUGUCUCGAGUGGCCAGAACGUUUACUUUGAAAAAAUUAGAGUGUUCAAAGCAGGCGUGUAGCCUGGAUAAUGGUGCAUGGAAUAAUGGAAUAGGACCCCGGUUCUAU